Long non-coding RNA from Carya illinoinensis, 534 nucleotides. RefSeq lists it as uncharacterized. The record is from RefSeq and is a predicted model, not a curated record. The transcript is spliced from 3 exons. NCBI's taxonomy places the organism in Eukaryota, Viridiplantae, Streptophyta, Magnoliopsida, Fagales, Juglandaceae.
AAACAUUUCUCAAGCACUCAAGUCCUUCACCGUGCGACACUACUACCCUUCUCUCCUAUUUCCAUUCUUUUUCCAAUCUUAAGCCAAGCACCCAUUAUUUUUUAUUCUCAAGAGGAAAAUAACAAGACAAGGAUUAGUGUUCUCUCUAGUUCCCUACACCGAACCCACCUCUUCUCUUCUCCCUUUUUGUGUUUUGGGAAGGGAUUCACCAAGGUAAUGACGAAGUGGCAGCAGGGCAUUACUGUAAAAGGGAGAGGUAAACACUUAGUAUCUUCCCUGUUGGUUCGACCUUACAUGGAUGAUGGGUUAUGUUUAUGGUUGUUGUUUUUAUGUUAGGAUGGGUCCCUUGUUGGGACGUUUUGUCAGGUUUGAAUUUAAACCAUGUAUCUCUUGGUAUGGUUUAAUCGUUAUGGUAGGGUGAUGAUAAAUCCUUAUACAUUGAUUUAGUGCCUUCUUAUAUGUAAGGUAGAGAUGGAGUUCCUUCCUCACUAGAACAAUUAUGUUUUUAUGAAUGUAUGAUGGACUCUGAGAGUC